GUGAAUCAUCAAAUUUUUGAACGCAAAUUGCACUCUCUUCGGAGAGGAUGCCUGUUUGAGGGUCAGCCUAAAAAAAAAAUCGAAAUAGUCGCUGUUUCGCGGUGACGUUGGUCGGCAAGUGGGUCAACUUAACCCGUUGGGUUUUAAGCGGCUUAAAAUUUUCUUUACGUUUCCGCUAACGUUUCUACGAUAUACUUCUUACACAAUUAGGGCAAUCGAUCUUUAUUAG
Molecule: unclassified non-coding RNA, 229 nt
Filed under: Glomus sp.
Lineage: Eukaryota; Fungi; Glomeromycota; Glomeromycetes; Glomerales; Glomeraceae
Description: partial contains 5.8S ribosomal RNA and internal transcribed spacer 2
Rfam family: 5.8S ribosomal RNA (bases 1-65)
Source: RNAcentral